GAUUCCACGCUUAUUAUACUUAAUAAGGAGGUAAGAAAAAAUCAGCGUGUAAUAGGUGAAAAUAGUGAAGUUCAAGAUGAAAUGGAGGAAUCUUGAGGAAUGUUGUAAAAUAUAUGAUGUUUAAAUGUAAUUAAGAUGUUCCACACGUUUUGAGAGAUGUUCCAGGAAAAGCAGCUUUUCCAACUGUUGAUUUCUACAUGGAAACCGAGAAUUUUCUUCAGAAAGAGCUUUAAUAAAUACGAAUCAGAAUAGAAAGAGAAAAACGAUUCGCAUCCAUAAAAUUUCAUUUCGAAAAUGUAUCCUUCCUUUUAUACAGAAUAUUAAUAAACGUUCUCUCGUGAGCCAACGUUUUCGUUCCACCUCGAAAAUGAUAAAAUGGAAAAUGGUCAACGAAGUGUCGUCGUGUAUAUUCAAAGUGCUCGAGAUACGGACGAGUAUCUUGUAAGGAUGCUAAUUAAUUAAGAAUCGAGAUGGGAUGCCGAAUAUGAAUUUCUCAGACUUUCCCGCUUUUUAUUCGAAUUAUUUGAAAGCCGUUGCAUUUCUAUGGCGGGUUUUUCGAACGAGAGAUUCGCUUUAUAUAGAAAGUUCACUUGUGGAAAUGUAAUUUGGAUGGAUAUAGUCGUGUGAUUCCACGAUAGUAUUAAUUAACACGAUUGGAUGCCACGUGGAUGAAAUUUAACCAACUUGGAUGUUUCGAUGAUUGCACGUGAACCGAGGAAUGAGAAAUCUCGAUCGAUUGGCUAGAUAUACAUGCAUAUAUACUUGUCUGAUACAUGGCUGGGAAUAUAUUUGCAUUUAUGAAAGGAUUAUCAAUGCAUCUUACGAUUUCAAUUUGUACUGAUUAUUAUUAAAUAAAUGGAUAUUAAUGUAAAUUGAUAAAUUAUUUGAUAAUUUUUUUUUUACAGAUAAUUUUAUAAGAUUAAAAUUUACGGCAUGGAAAUUGAAUGAAAAUUGUGCAAAGGUAUACUGACGUAAUCUUCUUUCAUGACAAUUGAUGUAUACACUUCCUUCUUUCCGAUAAUCUUCUCUCCUCGAUAAGAACAAAUAUGCGAUCGUGACUGGAAAACGCGUUCUUGGCGCGAAACGUUAUCGUUCGCUUGAAUCAACGUGUACACAAGAGCCAUCAGAGUUUGGCCAUUGUCAAGGGGCAACGAUGCGUGCUCGCUACGACGCCAGACGUUCCGGAAACGUGGCAAGGAUGAAAGGAAAGAGACAGAGAGAGAAAGAGAGAGAGAGAGAGAGAGAGAGAGAGAGAGAGAGAGAGAGAGAGAGAGAGAGAGUUUGGCGAGUCCAAGGAGGAGACUCACCGAUGCACCGGUUCCAGAUUUACGUUCGACCCGUGGAAGACACGGGAAACGUGCUCGUAUGUGACCUAGAUCGCUAACGAGACGUUUCGUUGAUUAAAUAAUGGGAGCCCAUUGCGGAUUCGUGAGCGGAUAAGAUGGUCGAAAGUUGCUCUGAAUCGAGGCGAGCGUUUUGCUCGAUCACGACCAUCCUUUACCUCGUCGAACAGGAAAGUUGUGCACUUUUUUUUUUUAAAUAGAGAUCAUUGCAGGGUGAAGAGGAACGAUGAUGCCGAUGAUUUUCGGGAUAUAACUUUCUUUGGAAAGUGUCUUCCAUAUUAUCUUUUAAGAAAGGUGAAAAUUUAGGAAUUAAUGAAAGGGGGAUAGAGAAUCUUUUAAGAAAGAUGAAAAUUUAGGAAUUAAUAAAAGGGGGAUAGAGGAUAUCUUUUUGCUGUAAAAUUUUAUGAUUAAUCUCUGGUCAUUCUGAUAUUUUUGCUAUAAAUUUUAUCAAAUAGAGGUGCUAUGUUUGACAUAUGUAAUUUAUGCCAUAAUUUUUCCUUCAAUUCAGAAUAUUGAUUGAUGAUAUGUAAUCAAUCAAAUUCAAACUUAAAUGUAUUAAGAUGAUUGAAACGCAAUUAUGAAUUUAUAAGUACGAAUACGAACAUAUGUGCAUGAAAAUAAUAUAGAGAAGAAAGUACAUAUUAGAAAAGGAAUUAGAAAGUGAAUGAAAAUCAUUAACUUUAACGUGAAAAAUUAUCGUUCAUGGAUAAAGAUUCGAUUUCAAAAUUCGAUUUCAGGCUAUCCAAUUACUCGAUAUAAUGUCAUAAUUGAAGAAACGUGAAACUAAAUGAUACUCGAUAAAGACACAAGAAAUAUCGUUGUAAUAGGCGCGUUAGAUUAGUCAUGUCUUUCGAAUUACAACGUGAAAGGAAACGAACCAAUGGUAGAUAUCAUUCAGUCGCGUGUUUAUAUUUAACGGUACAGGUAAUUACGAUCAAUACAACCACGACACCUUAUACUUGUACGUUUAACGGUAUAUGUAAUUACGCGCAACAGAAAUAGUGCAUUCCUAUUGUCACAGAAAAUAUAAUAAUAUUGAACUUAUAUAACUUGAAUCUCUAUAAUUCAAAAAUUUUUAUAAGACUAAAAUUUUCUUUAUUCGUAUCAUCAUACAUUAUAUCAUAUAUUUAUAGACUCGUAACAAAUAUGGACCUAUAAAAUUUGUGAAAUAGAUAGCUAUCAGCUGAUAGGAUCAGAUAUAUUAGAGAAUUUAUGGAAUUCGAAUCAGAUAUGAAAAAAUAACUAAUAACUUCUUAUAUCUGUCACUUAUGCUUCAUAAAUUUCAGGUUUACGAUGUGUUGUUAAAUUAUUGAGAGUAAUAAACAGACAAAACUAUCUGACAAUAAUAGCCAUAAUGUUCA
Apis laboriosa (Himalayan honeybee) is the source of this 2704-nucleotide long non-coding RNA. RefSeq lists it as uncharacterized. The record is from RefSeq and is a predicted model, not a curated record. The transcript has 6 exons. NCBI's taxonomy places the organism in Eukaryota, Metazoa, Arthropoda, Insecta, Hymenoptera, Apidae.